GGUAAAAUGGUCGAGUGUUCAGGCGGCGGACCGUAGCUCCGUUUACAGAGGUUUAAAUCCUCUUUUUAUCA
Molecule: transfer RNA, 71 nt
Filed under: Microdevario kubotai
Lineage: Eukaryota; Metazoa; Chordata; Actinopteri; Cypriniformes; Danionidae
Description: tRNA-Tyr
Rfam family: tRNA
About the family: Transfer RNA (tRNA) molecules are approximately 80 nucleotides in length. Their secondary structure includes four short double-helical elements and three loops (D, anti-codon, and T loops).
Source: RNAcentral